This 176-nucleotide ribosomal RNA is filed under the name Vulpes vulpes (red fox). RNAcentral describes it as "partial small subunit ribosomal RNA". Lineage: Eukaryota; Metazoa; Chordata; Mammalia; Carnivora; Canidae. The record is from RNAcentral.
AUAGUUCUAUAACAAAACAAUUCGCCAGAGAACUACUAGCAACAGCUUAAAACUCAAAGGACUUGGCGGUGCUUUAUAUCCCUCUAGAGGAGCCUGUUCUAUAAUCGAUAAACCCCGAUAAACCUCACCAUCCCUUGCUAAUACAGUCUAUAUACCGCCAUCUUCAGCAAACAAUU